GACGUUAUGUUUCAGAUAACAGAAGAGGAACUGAUGACUCUGAGGAGCAGACAGAUGAUCAUGUGACUUAUUCUGAGGUCACUGCGUACAGUAAAAACCAAGACCAAAAGAAGAAGGUUCGCUGUGAUGAUAAAGUGACUUAUGCUUCCAUCAGAGGAGCAAAAGCUGGAUCUCAGGAAAACUGCAGUGAACUUUAUGCCUCUGUGAACAAGAACCAUCACAAAUCAGUCAAAUAAUGACACAAAAACCACAUGAGCAGAAGAAUAUGAAUCUAAUAGAACUGAGUCCUAAUGGUGUCAUUCAGUGCCAUUAUAAAUACUUUCAAUGUCUUUUACAUGUUCACAAACAAACCCAAGUGAUGCUCUGA
This is a long non-coding RNA of Megalobrama amblycephala (Wuchang bream), 367 nucleotides long. RefSeq lists it as uncharacterized. The record is from RefSeq and is a predicted model, not a curated record. NCBI's taxonomy places the organism in Eukaryota, Metazoa, Chordata, Actinopteri, Cypriniformes, Xenocyprididae. The transcript has 3 exons.